UGGGGGAUAUUGCACAAUGGGCGAAAGCCUGAUGCAGCGACGCCGCGUGGGGGAUGAAGGCCUUCGGGUUGUAAACUUCUUUUGCUCUGAACAAGGCAUGCCUUUGGGGUGUGUUGAGUGUAGGGGUUGAUUAGCGCCGGCUAACUACGUGCCAGCAGCCGCGGUAAUACGUAGGGCGCGAGCGUUGUCCGGAAUUAUUGGGCGUAAAGGGCUUGUAGGUGGCUGGUUGCGUCUGUCGUGAAAGCUCAUGGCUUAACUGUGGGUUUGCGGUGGGUACGGGCUGGCUUGAGUGCAGUAGGGGAGGCUGGAAUUCCUGGUGUAGCGGUGGAAUGCGCAGAUAUCAGGAGGAAUACCGGUGGCGAAGGCGGGUCUCUGGGCUGUUACUGACGCUGAGGAGCGAAAGCGUGGGGAGCGAUCAGG
This 420-nucleotide ribosomal RNA is filed under the name Fusobacteriota bacterium. RNAcentral's name for it is "Fusobacteria bacterium partial 16S ribosomal RNA". It matches the Rfam family "Bacterial small subunit ribosomal RNA", at positions 355 to 776 of the family's 1533-position model. The record is from RNAcentral. Lineage: Bacteria; Fusobacteriati; Fusobacteriota.